GACGAACGCUGGCGGCGUGCCUAAUACAUGCAAGUAGAACGCUGAAGAGAGGAGCUUGCUCUUCUUGGAUGAGUUGCGAACGGGUGAGUAACGCGUAGGUAACCUGCCUUGUAGCGGGGGAUAACUAUUGGAAACGAUAGCUAAUGCCGCAUAACAAUGGAUGACACAUGUCAUUUAUUUGAAAGGGGCAAUUGCUCCACUACAAGAUGGACCUGCGUUGUAUUAGCUAGUAGGUGAGGUAAUGGCUCACCUAGGCGACGAUACAUAGCCGACCUGAGAGGGUGAUCGGCCACACUGGGACUGAGACACGGCCCAGACUCCUACGGGAGGCAGCAGUAGGGAAUCUUCGGCAAUGGGGGCAACCCUGACCGAGCAACGCCGCGUGAGUGAAGAAGGUUUUCGGAUCGUAAAGUUCUGUUGUAAGUCAAGAACGGGUGUGAGAGUGGAAAGUUCACACUGUGACGGUAGCUUACCAGAAAGGGACGGCUAACUACGUG
This 497-nucleotide ribosomal RNA is filed under the name uncultured bacterium. RNAcentral's name for it is "partial 16S ribosomal RNA". It matches the Rfam family "Bacterial small subunit ribosomal RNA", at positions 28 to 507 of the family's 1533-position model. The record is from RNAcentral.